Molecule: ribosomal RNA, 254 nt
Filed under: uncultured bacterium
Lineage: Bacteria
Description: partial 16S ribosomal RNA
Rfam family: Bacterial small subunit ribosomal RNA
Source: RNAcentral
GUCCACGCCGUAAACGAUGGAUACUAGCUGUUGGGCGCAAGUUCAGUGGCUAAGCGAAAGUGAUAAGUAUCCCACCUGGGGAGUACGUUCGCAAGAAUGAAACUCAAAGGAAUUGACGGGGCCCGCACAAGCGGUGGAGCAUGUGGUUUAAUUCGAUGAUACGCGAGGAACCUUACCAAGGCUUAAAUGUAGAUUGACAGGUUUGGAAACAGACUUUUCUUCGGACAAUUUACAAGGUGCUGCAUGGUUGUCGU